GCUUGCUCUUCUUGGAUGAGUUGCGAACGGGUGAGUAACGCGUAGGUAACCUGCCUUGUAGCGGGGGAUAACUAUUGGAAACGAUAGCUAAUACCGCAUAACAAUGGAUGACACAUGUCAUUUAUUUGAAAGGGGCAAUUGCUCCACUACAAGAUGGACCUGCGUUGUAUUAGCUAGUAGGUGAGGUAACGGCUCACCUAGGCGACGAUACAUAGCCGACCUGAGAGGGUGAUCGGCCACACUGGGACUGAGACACGGCCCAGACUCCUACGGGAGGCAGCAGUAGGGAAUCUUCGGCAAUGGGGGCAACCCUGACCGAGCAACGCCGCGUGAGUGAAGAAGGUUUUCGGAUCGUAAAGCUCUGUUGUAAGUCAAGAACGAGUGUGAGAGUGGAAAAUUCACACUGUGACGGUAGCUUACCAGAAAGGGACGGCUAACUACGUGCCAGCAGCCGCGGUAAUACGUAGGUCCCGAGCGUUGUCCGGAUUUAUUGGGCGUAAAGCGAGCGCAGGCGGUUUGAUAAGUCUGAAGUUAAAGGCUGUGGCUCAACCAUAGUUCGCUUUGGAAACUGUCAAACUUGAGUGCAGAAGGGGAGAGUGGAAUUCCAUGUGUAGCGGUGAAAUGCGUAGAUAUAUGGAGGAACACCGGUGGCGAAAGCGGCUCUCUGGUCUGUAACUGACGCUGAGGCUCGAAAGCGUGGGGAGCGAACAGGAUUAGAUACCCUGGUAGUCCACGCCGUAAACGAUGAGUGCUAGGUGUUGGAUCCUUUCCGGGAUUCAGUGCCGCAGCUAACGCAUUAAGCACUCCGCCUGGGGAGUACGACCGCAAGGUUGAAACUCAAAGGAAUUGACGGGGGCCCGCACAAGCGGUGGAGCAUGUGGUUUAAUUCGAAGCAACGCGAAGAACCUUACCAGGUCUUGACAUCCCGAUGCUAUUUCUAGAG
This 943-nucleotide ribosomal RNA is filed under the name Streptococcus salivarius. RNAcentral describes it as "bacterial SSU rRNA". It matches the Rfam family "Bacterial small subunit ribosomal RNA", at positions 78 to 1005 of the family's 1533-position model. The record is from RNAcentral. Lineage: Bacteria; Bacillati; Bacillota; Bacilli; Lactobacillales; Streptococcaceae.